ACAGAACCCCUGAGAGAUGAUCAGCUGUUGUGGCCUCCGAGUUUGGGGAUGGCUUGUUACGCAGCCAUAGGUCACUGAUACAAGCACAAAAUCCUUCUCUUCAAGGAAGAGGAAUCAACCUUUUCACUUGCUGUGUGCCAGGGAAGGAAACUGAGGCUCAGAGAGUCUAAGUGUUUCCCGAAGGUCACACAGAAACCUGAGGCUCUGAGAUUCCAAAGUUAUCAUGCUCUGGACCACAAUGUCAUCCAUCCCAGAGUAGGGACGUAGAAGCAUGCUCUGGAGCGAUGCUGCUCCAAGGAAAUUCUGAACUCGAUCAGGAGUCUCUCAGACAGAGGCAUUUCAGGCAGGACCGCCGGAGUACCUGCGGGUAAGGCGGGACCUCCCCCACCUGGGACCUUCGCAAAUACUCCCUGUCACCAUUGAUGACUGGAAGCAUUUCACGCCGUGUCGCCCACCCCUCCCCCCGGGAACAGAACCCCCUAGUUUCACCCUCGAACAGCCCCUCUCCGGCCUCCUGCUGUGUUCACCAUCAGGUUUCAUCUCAGCUUCUGCUUUAGCGGCGAAAGCAGAACCCACAGGCAGGGAACUGAGAGGAGGGCGGCGAGAGGGGAAGACCCUCGGGACCGCCGCGGAGCCUGGGCCUUUAAGGGCAGGGGCGGG
Molecule: long non-coding RNA, 660 nt
Filed under: Equus asinus (donkey)
Lineage: Eukaryota; Metazoa; Chordata; Mammalia; Perissodactyla; Equidae
Description: lncRNA (ENSEASG00005030819.1)
Source: RNAcentral